GUCUACAGCCAUGCUACCCUGGACUAGCCUGAUCUAAGAAGCUUAGUAGGGUUAGGCCUGGUUAGUACUUGUAUGGGAGACAGCCUGGGAAUACCGAGUGCUGUAGACU
Saimiri boliviensis boliviensis (Bolivian squirrel monkey) is the source of this 109-nucleotide ribosomal RNA. NCBI's taxonomy places the organism in Eukaryota, Metazoa, Chordata, Mammalia, Primates, Cebidae. The record is from Ensembl.